Carassius carassius (crucian carp) is the source of this 999-nucleotide long non-coding RNA. RefSeq lists it as uncharacterized. The record is from RefSeq and is a predicted model, not a curated record. The transcript is spliced from 2 exons. Lineage: Eukaryota; Metazoa; Chordata; Actinopteri; Cypriniformes; Cyprinidae.
UAAAUUACUUUUAUCCAUUUUCAGAAACAAACACUCAUGAUUUAUCGCAUGUUAUUUAAUUAUUUUUUUCGGGUCGAGCUUCUCUCUCCAAACACAGUUUUAUGUUAAGUUUCAGUCAGUUUUUCACGCUGAGAUCAUUUAAUACCUGUGUUACAGAUGUGAUGUCAUCCAUGAUAGGUCUAGUAUGAUACUGUAUAACAGGUCAAAGGUCAUUCAAGGGAAUCACCAUCUAAAUCUUGGUCAUCACAAAGCUUUAAAUAACAGGUGUUUUGUAAAUAUGAUGAUUUUUGGGACUGAUUAUGAAACAAAUGAUAUGAUUUUAGCUUUAAUGUAGUAACAAGUAUUAAGAAUUAAAGAUGAAUAUUUUGUGCUGUUUUUAUAAUAAUUCAUGAGUGCUGUUGAGAAGAGCUGCUGUUGAGUCUGAUAUCAGUGUGUGAGUCUCUUCUCUCUUUCUCUGCUGGAGUUUGUGUUUAUUUGAGUGUGACGGAGGUUUUUGUUCGACGCUUUCACUAGAAUGAAGCACUGUGGUACACUUUUGGUGGAGGAACUAAACUGACCAUCGCUGGUCCCGCAGUGAAGCCCUCCGUGUCUCUGCUGCCUCCCUCUUCUCUGCAGAUCUCUGGAGACUCAGCCGCACUGCUCUGUCUGCUCAGCUCUUACUCUCCACAGGGGGCGCAGGUGAGCUGGACGCUGGACGGGUCAGAGGUCACCGAGGGGGUUCAGACCAGCGCAGAGAGCGAGCGGGACGGACGCUACAGCCGCAGCAGCGUCCUGAGCCUCAGCAAAGCACGCUGGGAAGCCGGCGAGCGCUUCGUCUGCAGAGUAACACAUGACGGAGCUGAUCACGAGACCUCGUUCCUCAAGAGCUCCGAGUGCUGAUGUUUCUCCAGUGAAGAGCAGCAGGAUUCACAGCAGUCUCCUGAUUUACAGCUCAAUACUCAAGCAGUCUUUCAAUGUGCUGCCAUUGCUGUUCAUUCAAUAAAGCUUCUGAACGCCUUA